This 2976-nucleotide ribosomal RNA is filed under the name Capsicum chinense (habanero). RNAcentral's name for it is "bacterial LSU rRNA". The stretch from base 603 to 2976 matches the Rfam family "Bacterial large subunit ribosomal RNA". The record is from RNAcentral. Lineage: Eukaryota; Viridiplantae; Streptophyta; Magnoliopsida; Solanales; Solanaceae.
UUUAUAAUGUAACCAUUUAAUUCAUUAGAUACCGAUUCCUAUCUCGAAAACGUGUUUUCUCCUCUUUGAUUUUCUUAACUAUCUUCUAUAGGCAACCUUUUUUUAUCCAAUCAAAAAUGAUUUUAUCAUUUUGGAAUCCCCAAUUCAAUAUAGAUGGAUCUAUACCCUAUCUAUAUAUCCUUCUUCUUGUCAUUUUGCCAUUCUUUUUGGAAUACUUGAACAAUCGAUUCUAGUUUCUUAUCUUCACUUUUGCCUGAAAGCUGAGGAAUGUCUCAUUAAUUAUAACUAACCAUUCCAUUAAAUAAUUUUGAAAUAAAUAUAGAAUGAGAGACAUAUAUGAUAUAGAAUAAAAUAUAGAACUAUAAUAAAAAAGAUUUCAAAUGCCAAAAAAAGAAAUGAAAAAGAAUAUUUACCAUUCAAAUUGAAAAUGAAAAUAAAAAGAAUAUUAACAAUAUUUGCAAUCACUAUUUAAUGAUAUUAGUAUUAGAAUUGUUAUUAGAAUUGUGAUAAAUCGAAAUUCUAGAUCGCUAUAGUAAUCCUUAUGCUCUAGAAUCUAGAAUAUUCAAUAUAAUAUUGAAUAGUUAAUAAUUCCAAUUCCAGUAGUUNCUGUUAGAAUUAUGAUAAAUCAAAAUUCUCGAUCUCUAUAGUAAUCCUUAUGCUCUAGAAUCUAGAAUAUUCAAUAUAAUAUUGAAUAGUUAAUAAUUCCAAUUUCAGUAGUUUAGGAAAUUACUAUGCAUAUACUAAGUGGAGGUCCGAACCGACUUAUGUUAAAGAAUCAUUAGAUGAGUUAUGGUUAGAGAUAAAAUGCCACUAGAACCCAGAGCUAACUGGUUCUCCCCAAAAUGCAUUGAGGCGCAGUAGUUGACUGGAAAUUUAGAGGUAAAACACUAUUUUAAUGCGGGCUGCAAGAGCAGUACCAAAUCAAAGCAAACUCUGAACACUAUGUAUGGCCUUAAAAAAGAGGGGUCAAAGUUGGCUAGUAAGAUGAUAGGGGAUAAAAUUCAUCAUCGAGAGGGAAACAGCCUGGAUCACCAGCUAAGGCCCCUAAAUGAUCGCUCAAUGAUAAAGGAGAUAAGGGUGCAGAGACAACCAGAAGGUUUUCCUAGAAGCAGCCACCCUUGAAAGAGUGCAUAAUAACUUAUUGAUCGAGCGCUCUUGCACCAAAGAUGUACGGGGAUGCGUUGACAUUACCCUUUUGCAUUAUAGUUANGUAGGGUGUAAAAAUACAUCGGUAGGGGAGUAUUUGGCCUUAGAGGAAAGCCUCCAUGUGAGCAGUGGUGGACGAAGUGGAAGCGAGAAUGUCGGAAUGAGUAAUGAAAACAUUGGUGAAAAUCAAACUCCUCAAAAACCUAAGGGAUCCUCCGUAAGUUUCUUCCAUAGAGGGUGAGUCAGGACCUAAGAUCAAGCCAAAAGGCAUAGUCGAUGGACAACAGGUGAAUAUUCUUGUACUACCUCUUGUUGGUCCUAAGAGAUGGAUGAGGGUAGGUUAGCUGAAAAAUGGUUAUCGGUUCAAGAAUGUAAGGUGUCCCUGCCCUUUUUAGAGGGUAAGAAGGGGUAGAGAAAAUACCACAAGACAAUGUUUGAACACCAGGCACUAUGAUGCUGAAGUAACCAAUUCCAUACUCCUAGGAAAAGCUCAAAUGACUUUGAGCAGGAGAGUACCUGUACCUAAAAUCGACACAAAUGGGUAGGUAGAGAAUACCUAGGGGCACAAGACAACUCUCUCUAAGGAAUUCAGCAAAAUAUCCCCGUAACUUUAGGAGAAGGGGUACUUCUUCACAUCACAAAGGGGUCGCAGUGAUAAGGCCCAGGCGACUAUUUACCAAAAAUAUAGGUCUCUGCAAAGUCAUAAGACUAUGUAUGGGGGAUGACGCCUGCCCAGUGCCAAAAGGUCAAAAAAGUUGGUGACCUAAUGACAGUGGAGCUGGCGACCAAAGCCCCAGUGACUAGCGGUCGUAACUAUAAUUUUCCUAAGGUAGCAAAAUUCCUUCUUGGGUAAGUUCCGACCCGCAUGAAAAGCGUAACAAUCUAGGUACUAUCUUGGAGAGAGGCUCAAUGAAAUAAACAUGUCUGUGAAGAUACGAAAUACCUGCACCUAGACAGAAAGACCUAAUAACGCUUCACUGUUCCCUGGGAUUGGCUUUGGACCUUUCCUGCACAGCUUAGGUGGAAGGCAAAGAAGGCCUCAUUUUGGGGGGCCCGAGCCAUCAGUAAGAUACCACUCUGGAAGGGCUAGAAUUCUAACCUUGUGUUAGGACCUACAGGCCAAGGGACAGUCUCAGGUAGAAAGUUUCUAUGGGGCGUAACCCUCCUAAAAGGUAACGGAGGCAUGCAAAGGUUUCCUCAAGCCGGACGGAGAUUGGCCCUCGAGUAAAAAAGUAGAAGAAAGGUUGAAUGCAAGACACACCAGUUGAGCAGGGAUGAAAGUAGGCCUUAGUGAUCUGAAGGUGUCGAGUGAAAAGGUCGCCGCUCAAUGGAUAAAAGUUACUCUAAGGAUAACAGGUUGAUCUUCCCCAAGAUCCCACAUGAUGGGAAGGUUUGGCACCUUGAUGUCGACUGUUUGUCACCUGCGGUUGUAGUAUGUUCGAAGGGUUGGGUUGUUCGCCUAUUAAAACAGUACGUGAGCUGGGUUCAAAACAUUGUAAGACAGUUUGGUCCAUCUCCGGUGUAAGCAUUAGCGCAUUGAGAGGAACUUUCCUUAGUACAAGAGGACCGGUAAGGACGCACCUCUGGUGUACAAGUUAUCAUACCCAUGGCAAAUGCUGGGUAGCCAUGUGCGAAGCAGAUAACCACUGAAAAUAUCUAAGUAGUAAGUCCACCUCGUGUGCUCUCCUAUUUUGACUUCCCCAGAGCUUCCAGUAGCACAGGCGAGACAGCGACGGGUUCUCUACCCCUAUGGGGAUAGAGAGACAUAAGUUUUUUUGAGAAUUCAAGAGAAGGUCAUGACGAGAAAAGCCAUUUAUCAUUACGAUAGGU